This 265-nucleotide ribosomal RNA is filed under the name Thyrinula eucalyptina. Its description in RNAcentral is "partial 18S ribosomal RNA". The record is from RNAcentral. Lineage: Eukaryota; Fungi; Ascomycota; Dothideomycetes; Asterinales; Asterinaceae.
UCAAACUGCGGGAAAGCCCUGCCACGACUCUCGGGACCUCACCGCCCCAGCAAUGGAAGCGGGUGCCUGCGGCCAACGGCCGCGGGUACGGUAAAGCACCGAAGUCUAGGGGCGAUCCGCCGCCAAACCCUCCCCGCACCGGGAGGGCCCAGCUCACAGGCCAGACGGCGAUGGGCGCUCUCGCGCUUAAGAUAUGGUCGAGUGACUCGCCGAGAGGCGGGUGCAACUCAGGAACGUCCGUAGGUGAACCUGCGGAAGGAUCAUU